This 581-nucleotide ribosomal RNA is filed under the name uncultured Enterobacteriaceae bacterium. RNAcentral describes it as "bacterial SSU rRNA". It matches the Rfam family "Bacterial small subunit ribosomal RNA", at positions 102 to 679 of the family's 1533-position model. Lineage: Bacteria; Pseudomonadati; Pseudomonadota; Gammaproteobacteria; Enterobacterales; Enterobacteriaceae. The record is from RNAcentral.
ACGGGUGAGUAAUGUCUGGGAAACUGCCCGAUGGAGGGGGAUAACUACUGGAAACGGUAGCUAAUACCGCAUAACGUCUUCGGACCAAAGUGGGGGACCUUCGGGCCUCACACCAUCGGAUGUGCCCAGAUGGGAUUAGCUAGUAGGUGGGGUAACGGCUCACCUAGGCGACGAUCCCUAGCUGGUCUGAGAGGAUGACCAGCCACACUGGAACUGAGACACGGUCCAGACCCCUACGGGAGGCAGCAGUGGGGAAUAUUGCACAAUGGGCGCAAGCCUGAUGCAGCCAUGCCGCGUGUAUGAAGAAGGCCUUCGGGUUGUAAAGUACUUUCAGCGGGGAGGAAGGCGAUGUGGUUAAUAACCGCGUCGAUUGACGUUACCCGCAGAAGAAGCACCGGCUAACUCCGUGCCAGCAGCCGCGGUAAUACGGAGGGUGCAAGCGUUAAUCGGAAUUACUGGGCGUAAAGCGCACGCAGGCGGUCUGUCAAGUCGGAUGUGAAAUCCCCGGGCUUAACCUGGGAACUGCAUUCGAAACUGGCAGGCUUGAGUCUCGUAGAGGGGGGUAGAAUUCCAGGUGUAGC